This 2903-nucleotide ribosomal RNA is filed under the name Enterobacter hormaechei. RNAcentral's name for it is "23S ribosomal RNA". It matches the Rfam family "Bacterial large subunit ribosomal RNA". The record is from RNAcentral. Lineage: Bacteria; Pseudomonadati; Pseudomonadota; Gammaproteobacteria; Enterobacterales; Enterobacteriaceae.
GGUUAAGCGACUAAGCGUACACGGUGGAUGCCCUGGCAGUCAGAGGCGAUGAAGGACGUGCUAAUCUGCGAAAAGCGCCGGCGAGGUGAUAUGAACCCUUGACCCGGCGAUGUCCGAAUGGGGAAACCCAGUGUGUUUCGACACACUAUCGUUAACUGAAUACAUAGGUUAACGAGGCGAACCGGGGGAACUGAAACAUCUAAGUACCCCGAGGAAAAGAAAUCAACCGAGAUUCCCCCAGUAGCGGCGAGCGAACGGGGAGCAGCCCGGAGUCUGAAUCAGCUUGUGUGUUAGUGGAACGGUCUGGAAAGUCCGACGGUACAGGGUGAUAGUCCCGUACACGAAAAUGCACUUGCUGUGAACUCGAAGAGUAGGGCGGGACACGUGGUAUCCUGUCUGAAUAUGGGGGGACCAUCCUCCAAGGCUAAAUACUCCUGACUGACCGAUAGUGAACCAGUACCGUGAGGGAAAGGCGAAAAGAACCCCGGCGAGGGGAGUGAAAAAGAACCUGAAACCGUGUACGUACAAGCAGUGGGAGCACCUUCGGGUGUGACUGCGUACCUUUUGUAUAAUGGGUCAGCGACUUAUAUUCUGUAGCAAGGUUAACCGUAUAGGGGAGCCGAAGGGAAACCGAGUCUUAACUGGGCGUUAAGUUGCAGGGUAUAGACCCGAAACCCGGUGAUCUAGCCAUGGGCAGGUUGAAGGUUGGGUAACACUAACUGGAGGACCGAACCGACUAAUGUUGAAAAAUUAGCGGAUGACCUGUGGCUGGGGGUGAAAGGCCAAUCAAACCGGGAGAUAGCUGGUUCUCCCCGAAAGCUAUUUAGGUAGCGCCUCGUGAACUCAUCUUCGGGGGUAGAGCACUGUUUCGGCUAGGGGGCCAUCCCGGCUUACCAACCCGAUGCAAACUACGAAUACCGAAGAAUGUUAUCACGGGAGACACACGGCGGGUGCUAACGUCCGUCGUGAAGAGGGAAACAACCCAGACCGCCAGCUAAGGUCCCAAAGUCAUGGUUAAGUGGGAAACGAUGUGGGAAGGCACAGACAGCCAGGAUGUUGGCUUAGAAGCAGCCAUCAUUUAAAGAAAGCGUAAUAGCUCACUGGUCGAGUCGGCCUGCGCGGAAGAUGUAACGGGGCUAAACCAUGCACCGAAGCUGCGGCAGCGACACUAUGUGUUGUUGGGUAGGGGAGCGUUCUGUAAGCCGUUGAAGGUGUGCUGUGAGGCAUGCUGGAGGUAUCAGAAGUGCGAAUGCUGACAUAAGUAACGAUAAAGCGGGUGAAAAGCCCGCUCGCCGGAAGACCAAGGGUUCCUGUCCAACGUUAAUCGGGGCAGGGUGAGUCGACCCCUAAGGCGAGGCCGAAAGGCGUAGUCGAUGGGAAACAGGUUAAUAUUCCUGUACUUGGUGUUACUGCGAAGGGGGGACGGAGAAGGCUAUGUCAGCCGGGCGACGGUUGUCCCGGUUUAAGCAUGUAGGCGGAGGUUCCAGGUAAAUCCGGUACCUUUUAACGCUGAGGUGUGAUGACGAGGCACUACGGUGCUGAAGUGAUAAAUGCCCUGCUUCCAGGAAAAGCCUCUAAGCAUCAGGUAACACGAAAUCGUACCCCAAACCGACACAGGUGGUCAGGUAGAGAAUACCAAGGCGCUUGAGAGAACUCGGGUGAAGGAACUAGGCAAAAUGGUGCCGUAACUUCGGGAGAAGGCACGCUGAUAUGUAGGUGAAGUCCCUGCGGACGGAGCUGAAAUCAGUCGAAGAUACCAGCUGGCUGCAACUGUUUAUUAAAAACACAGCACUGUGCAAACACGAAAGUGGACGUAUACGGUGUGACGCCUGCCCGGUGCCGGAAGGUUAAUUGAUGGGGUUAGCGGCAACGCGAAGCUCUUGAUCGAAGCCCCGGUAAACGGCGGCCGUAACUAUAACGGUCCUAAGGUAGCGAAAUUCCUUGUCGGGUAAGUUCCGACCUGCACGAAUGGCGUAAUGAUGGCCAGGCUGUCUCCACCCGAGACUCAGUGAAAUUGAACUCGCUGUGAAGAUGCAGUGUACCCGCGGCAAGACGGAAAGACCCCGUGAACCUUUACUAUAGCUUGACACUGAACACUGGUCCUUGAUGUGUAGGAUAGGUGGGAGGCUUUGAAGCGUGGACGCCAGUCUGCGUGGAGCCAUCCUUGAAAUACCACCCUUUAAUGGCUGGUGUUCUAACGUAGACCCGUAAUCCGGGUUGCGGACAGUGUCUGGUGGGUAGUUUGACUGGGGCGGUCUCCUCCCAAAGAGUAACGGAGGAGCACGAAGGUUGGCUAAUCCUGGUCGGACAUCAGGAGGUUAGUGCAAUGGCAUAAGCCAGCUUGACUGCGAGCGUGACGGCGCGAGCAGGUGCGAAAGCAGGUCAUAGUGAUCCGGUGGUUCUGAAUGGAAGGGCCAUCGCUCAACGGAUAAAAGGUACUCCGGGGAUAACAGGCUGAUACCGCCCAAGAGUUCAUAUCGACGGCGGUGUUUGGCACCUCGAUGUCGGCUCAUCACAUCCUGGGGCUGAAGUAGGUCCCAAGGGUAUGGCUGUUCGCCAUUUAAAGUGGUACGCGAGCUGGGUUUAGAACGUCGUGAGACAGUUCGGUCCCUAUCUGCCGUGGGCGCUGGAGAAUUGAGGGGGGCUGCUCCUAGUACGAGAGGACCGGAGUGGACGCAUCACUGGUGUUCGGGUUGUCAUGCCAAUGGCACUGCCCGGUAGCUAAAUGCGGAAGAGAUAAGUGCUGAAAGCAUCUAAGCACGAAACUUGCCCCGAGAUGAGUUCUCCCUGAGACUUUAAGUCUCCUGAAGGAACGUUGAAGACGACGACGUUGAUAGGUCGGGUGUGUAAGCGCAGCGAUGCGUUGAGCUAACCGAUACUAAUGAACCGUGAGGCUUAACCUU